This 579-nucleotide ribosomal RNA is filed under the name uncultured archaeon. Its description in RNAcentral is "bacterial SSU rRNA". It matches the Rfam family "Archaeal small subunit ribosomal RNA", at positions 97 to 678 of the family's 1478-position model. The record is from RNAcentral.
CACGCGGAUAAUCUGCCCUGGAGUGGGGGAUAAUCUCGGGAAACUGAGGAUAAUACCCCAUAGGUGUGGUCUGCUGGAACGCUUCCACGCUGAAAGUUCCGACGCUCCAGGAUGAGUCUGCGGCCUAUCAGGCUGUAGUGGGUGUAACGGACCCACUAACCUACGACGGGUAGGGGCGUUGAGAGACGGAGCCCCCAGAUGGAUUCUGAGACACGAAUCCAGGCCCUACGGGGCGCAGCAGCUACGAAAACUGCACAAUGUGGGAAAUCACGAUGCGGGCAUUCCGAGUGCCAACGCUUUUGCGUUGGCUGUUCUCUCGCCUAAAAAGCGGGAGAAGUAAGGGCCGGGUAAGACGGGUGCCAGCCGCCGCGGUAAUACCCGCGACCCGAGUGGUGCUCAUUAUUAUUGAGCUUAAAGCGUUCGUAGCCGGCCGUGUAAAUCCUUGGGUAAAUCGGGCAGCUCAACUGUUCGAAUUCCGAGGAGACUGCACGGCUCGGGACCGGGAGAGGUUAGAGGUACUCUCGGGGUAGGGGUAAAAUCCUGUAAUCCUGAGAGGACCACCAGUGGCGAAGGCGUCUA